GCUCGACCUCAAAUCAGGUAGGAAUACCCGCUGAACUUAAGCAUAUCAAUA
This 51-nucleotide ribosomal RNA is filed under the name Pichia kudriavzevii. RNAcentral's name for it is "partial 28S ribosomal RNA". Lineage: Eukaryota; Fungi; Ascomycota; Pichiomycetes; Pichiales; Pichiaceae. The record is from RNAcentral.